Molecule: long non-coding RNA, 102 nt
Organism: Dipodomys spectabilis (banner-tailed kangaroo rat)
Lineage: Eukaryota; Metazoa; Chordata; Mammalia; Rodentia; Heteromyidae
Exons: 3
Source: RefSeq, a predicted model, not a curated record
CUCAAAGCUAGUGCUCUGACACUUGAGCCACAGAGCCACUUUUGGCUUUUUCUGUUUCUGUGGUACUGAGCAAUCAAACUCAAACCCAGGGUUUGUACAUGC